RNAcentral lists this ribosomal RNA (309 nucleotides) under uncultured eukaryote. RNAcentral's name for it is "partial 18S ribosomal RNA". It matches the Rfam family "Eukaryotic small subunit ribosomal RNA", at positions 1470 to 1796 of the family's 1831-position model. The record is from RNAcentral.
CCCUUAGAUGUUCUGGGCGGCCCGCGCACUACAUUGGCACUGGCAACAAGAUCCUAGAUCUGGUAUUUCGGGGUAUUCUACCAACUGGUGUCGUGACUGGGAUUAACCCCUGCAAUUAUUGGUUAUGAACGAGGAAUUCCUUGUAAUCACGGUUUAUCAACCCGUGUUGAAUGCGUCCCUGCCCUUUGUACACACCGCCCGUCGCUCCUACCGAUGAAUCGUCCGGUGAAGUUCAUGGAGUCGCGGCUGCUCCAGCUGUUUUCGAAGUGAAAUGCACCUCAUGAUUUAGAGGAAGGAGAAGUCGUAACA